RNAcentral lists this ribosomal RNA (1713 nucleotides) under Yarrowia lipolytica. RNAcentral's name for it is "SSU rRNA". It matches the Rfam family "Eukaryotic small subunit ribosomal RNA". Lineage: Eukaryota; Fungi; Ascomycota; Dipodascomycetes; Dipodascales. The record is from RNAcentral.
UCUGGUUUAUCCUGCCAGUAGUCAUAUGCUUGUCUCAAAGACUAAGCCAUGCAUGUCUAAGUAUAAAACAAUAUACAGUGAAACUGCGAACGGCUCAUUAAAUCAGUUAUCGUUUAUUUGAUAGUUUUCUACAUGGAUAACCGUGGAUAACUUCAGAACUAAUACAUGACAGCCUUCCUGGCGUAUAUAUUAGAUACAAACCAACAGUAUGGUGAUUCAUAAUAUCUUGUCGAACCGAUCUUCGGUUGUAUCAUUCAAAUUUCUGCCCUAUCAACUGUCGAUGGUAGGAUCGUGGCCUACCAUGGUAACACGGGGUAACGGGGAAUCAGGGUUCUAUUCCGGAGAGGGAGCCUGAGAAAACGGCUACCACAUCCAAGGAAGGCAGCAGGCGCGCAAAUUACCCAAUCCUGACACAGGGAGGGUAGUGACAAAUAUAUAACGAUCCGGGGCUCUUUUGAGUUUCGGAAUUGGAAUGAGUACAAUUUAAACACCUUAACGAGGAACAAUUGGAGGGGCAAGUCUGGUGCCAGCAGCCGCGGGUAAUUCCAGCUCCAAUAGGGCGUAUAUUAAUGUGUUGCAGUUAAAAAGCUCGUAGUUGAAAUUGGGCGGCUAUUAGUUUAGGCCGCUUCAGGAAGAACUUCUUCCAGUUACUUUGAAAAAAUUAGAGUGUUCAACGCAGGUUUCGCUCUGAAUAUAUUAGCAUGGAAUAACAUAACACGACGAGGGUCCAUUUUGUUGGCUUGCAAACCCACGUAAUGAUUAAUAGGGACAGUCGGGGGGCGUCAGUAUUGUGUUUGUCAGAGGUGAAAUUCUUGGAUUUACACAAGACUAACUACUGCGGAAGGCAUUCGCCAAGGAUGUUAUUCAGUAAUCAAGAACGAAAGUUAGGGGAUCAAGAUGAUCAGAUACCGUUCGUAGUCUUAACCGUAAACUAUGCCGACUUGAGAAUGGGUACCGCUUAUACGGUAUCCGCGCUCUACGAGAAAUCAAAGUGAUCAGGUUCUGGGGGGAGUAUGGUCGCAAGGCUGAAAACUUAAAGGAAUUGACGGAAGGGCACCACCAGGAGUGGAGCCUGCGGAUUAAUUUGACUCAACAACGGGGAAACUCACCAGGGUCCAGACACAUAAGGAAUUGACAGAUUGAUUAGCUAUUUCUUUGAUUUUGUGGGUGGUGGUUGCAGGGCCGUUCUUAGUUGGUGGAGUGAUUUGUCUUUUUAUUGCUUAAUUGCGAUAACGAACGAGACCUGACCCUACUAAAUAGCUCUACUUGCGAUUGCAGGUAGCUAGCUUCUUAGAGGGACUAUCUAUUACAAGUAGAUUGGAAGUUCGAGGCAAUAACAGGUCUGUGAUGCCCUUAGACGUUCUGGGCCGCACGCGCGCUACACUGACGGAGCCAGCGAGUCGACCAAGCCCGAGAGGGCUAGGUAAUCUUGUGAAACUCCGUCGUGCUGGGGGAUCUAGAGCAUUGCAAUUAUGCUCUUCAACGAGGAAUUCCUAGUAAGCGGCAAGUCAUCAGCUUGCGUGAUUACGUCCCUGCCCUUUGUACACCACCGCCCGUCGCUACUACCGAUUGAAUGGUUUAGUGAGACCUUGGAGGGCGCGAGAUGAGGGGGCAACCCCCUUUUGAACAUCCAAACUUGGUCAAACUUGAUUAUUUAGAGGAAGUAAGUAAAAGUCGUGUAACAAGGUUUCCGUAGGGGAAACCUGCGGAAGG